Patella vulgata (common limpet) is the source of this 436-nucleotide long non-coding RNA. RefSeq lists it as uncharacterized. The transcript is spliced from 4 exons. The record is from RefSeq and is a predicted model, not a curated record. Lineage: Eukaryota; Metazoa; Mollusca; Gastropoda; Patellidae.
AAUAUCAUGCUAGUUUGUUUUGAUAUUAUUAUUAUACUGGCUGCUGUAAAAUACGGGAAGAUGAAGUGUGUUAGUAUAUUCCUUGUAGUCGCGUGUUUAGCGGUGCUAGUUUAUGAAUUCGAAGCAUCUUGUGGCUUUAUGGCAAAGAAUCCCCCGGGUGACGAGGAACCAUGCAUAACACCUGCGGGUAAUCUAAGUGUUGGAGAAUCUGUGAAAAACUACACUGAAUGUCAAAGAUAUACUUGUGGAGCGUCUUAUAUUUCUUAUUGUGGAAUUGGUUAUAAUGCUGGUACGAUGUCUGUUCACGGAUGUGUCCAACAAAAUUUGGACGAUUGUUGUUACCAGUUUGUAAAUGCUUCAAACUCAUCGGAAAUCUGCAUGGAGAAAUUAUGUCCAUAGUAACUUUGCCAAUAAAAUAAGUAUAAUCUUAUAAUAA